RNAcentral lists this unclassified non-coding RNA (354 nucleotides) under soil metagenome. RNAcentral describes it as "partial contains 5.8S ribosomal RNA, internal transcribed spacer 2, and large subunit ribosomal RNA". The stretch from base 1 to 120 matches the Rfam family "5.8S ribosomal RNA", at positions 35 to 154 of the family's 154-position model. The record is from RNAcentral.
GAUGAAGAACGCAGCGAAGUGCGAUAAGUAAUGUGAAUUGCAGAAUUCCGUGAAUCAUCGAAUCUUUGAACGCACAUUGCGCCCCCUGGCAUUCCGGGGGGCAUGCCUGUCCGAGCGUCAUUUCUGCCCUCCAGCCCGGCUGGGUGUUGGGCGCUGUCCCCCCGGGGACACGCCCCAAAGGCAGUGGCGGCGCCGCGUCGGGUCCUCGAGCGUAUGGGGCUUUGUCACCCGCUCGGGACGGACUCGUCGGCGCUGGUCUUCCUCCAGGCGACCCUUCGGGGCUCGUCUUCCUUCGGUUGACCUCGGAUCAGGUAGGGUUACCCGCUGAACUUAAGCAUAUCAAUAAGCGGAGGA